GCCCGGAUAGCUCAGUUAAGAGCGUGGUGCUGAUAACGCCAAGGUUGCAGGUUCGAUCCCCGUAUGAGACA
Molecule: non-coding RNA, 71 nt
Organism: Podarcis lilfordi (Lilford's wall lizard)
Lineage: Eukaryota; Metazoa; Chordata; Lepidosauria; Squamata; Lacertidae
Source: the annotation of a GenBank genome assembly